This is a long non-coding RNA of Myripristis murdjan (pinecone soldierfish), 649 nucleotides long. RefSeq lists it as uncharacterized. The record is from RefSeq and is a predicted model, not a curated record. NCBI's taxonomy places the organism in Eukaryota, Metazoa, Chordata, Actinopteri, Holocentriformes, Holocentridae. The transcript is spliced from 3 exons.
AAAAGGCACUGUUAACUCAGCAGGUUUUCCACCCGUGGUGUGUCCCCUGCAUGUGUUUUAGACAACAGUACUUUUACGCUUUGUCAGCUACAUCAAUGCUUCCUAUCGUCUUUACUUAACAACAUUCAGAUUUUACUCUUACACGCCAGAUAACAAGCACUGCAUGGAGGAUUUUGUGCAAAUGUUUACAGCUUAGCUUGUCGGCUACUUUGUCUUUCAACACUGUUCAGAGAGUCAGAAGUGUCUCAGGAUGAAGAGCAGAGUUACUGGAUACAUGGUAUUAAGUUGCCACAUAGCCCCGGCCCUCGGAUUUGAUCUGCCUCGAAAUCAACAAGACGACUGACCUGGAUUUUCUCAGCCGGGUACUGUCCCUUGGAUUUUGUGUGUUGCCGGACGAGCAGACAGACAGACACGGGCUUGCCGCUGUGUGGGCUGUCACCGGGUUUUCUCCCCCCAGCUGGUCUGUGGCAUGGAGCUUGGGUGUUGGAUCCGUUCUCUGUGGCUUUCGGGAAGUUUACACACACUCCAGAGUCAGAGGAAGAGUUCACAUCCCUUGGAAAUCUGCUGCACUGAUAUGGCCAUGACAGCCAGUCAUCUUCCUUCAACUGUCCCACCAGCUGGAAAGACAUCUGUAAAUUCAUAAUUAGCC